RNAcentral lists this ribosomal RNA (424 nucleotides) under uncultured bacterium. RNAcentral's name for it is "bacterial SSU rRNA". It matches the Rfam family "Bacterial small subunit ribosomal RNA", at positions 355 to 796 of the family's 1533-position model. The record is from RNAcentral.
UGGGGAAUAUUGGACAAUGGGGGAAACCCUGAUCCAGCAAUGCCGCGUGAGUGAAGAAGGCCUUAGGGUUGUAAAGCUCUUUCAGCGGGGAAGAUGAUGACGGUACCCGCAGAAGAAGCCCCGGCUAACUCCGUGCCAGCAGCCGCGGUAAUACGGAGGGGGCUAGCGUUGUUCGGAAUUACUGGGCGUAAAGCGCACGUAGGCGGUGGUGCAUGUCAGAUGUGAAAGCCCUGGGCUUAACCUAGGAAUUGCAUUUGAAACUGCGCCGCUAGAGGCCGGAAGAGGGUAGUGGAAUUCCCAGUGUAGAGGUGAAAUUCGUAGAUAUUGGGAAGAACACCAGUGGCGAAGGCGGCUACCUGGUCCGGUUCUGACGCUGAGGUGCGAAAGCGUGGGGAGCAAACAGGAUUAGAUACCCCCGUAGUCC